This 861-nucleotide ribosomal RNA is filed under the name uncultured Chloroflexota bacterium. RNAcentral's name for it is "bacterial SSU rRNA". It matches the Rfam family "Bacterial small subunit ribosomal RNA", at positions 35 to 916 of the family's 1533-position model. Lineage: Bacteria; Bacillati; Chloroflexota. The record is from RNAcentral.
GGGUGCGGCGGCUAUAAUGCAGUCGACGGAGUUGUUGUAGCAAUACGGCAACUUAGUGGCGAACGGGUGAGUAACGCGUUGGUGACCUGCCCCGAAGAGGGGGAUAACAGUCCGAAAGGAUUGCUAAUACCCCAUGUGGUUACCGGUUUUAGAAUCCGGCAACUAAAGUCGUAAGACACUUUGGGAGGGACCUGCGUCCCAUCAGCUAGUUGGUAAGGUAACGGCUUACCAAGGCGACGACGGGUAGGGGACCUGAGAGGGUGGACCCCCACAAUGGCACUGAAACACGGGCCAUACACCUACGGGUGGCAGCAGUAGGGAAUAUUGCUUAAUGUGCGAAAGCGCGAAGCAGCAACGCCGCGUGUGCGAUGAGGGCCUUCGGGUCGUAAAGCACUUUUUAGAGGGAUGAGAAAGGACAGUACCUCUAGAAUAAGCCUCGGCUAACUACGUGCCAGCAGCCGCGGUAAAACGUAGGAGGCGAGCGUUAUCCGGAAUUACUGGGCGUAAAGCGCGUGCAGGCGGUUCGGUUAGUUGGAUGUGAAAGCUCCUGGCUUAACUGGGAGAGGUCGUUCAAUACUACCGGACUUGAGAGUGGUAGAGGGAGAUGGAAUUCCGCAUGUAGUGGUGAAAUGCGUAGAUAUGCGGAGGAACACCAGUGGCGAAAGCGGUCUCCUGGCCCACUUCUGACGCUCAGACGCGAAAGCUAGGGUAGCAAACGGGAUUAGAGACCCCGGUAGUCCUAGCUGUAAACGAUGUUAACUUGGCGUCGGAGGCUUCAAAACCUUCGGUGCCGUAGCAAACGCGAUAAGUUAACCGCCUGAGGACUACGGCCGCAAGGUUAAAACUCAAAGGAAUUGACGG